GCUCCGGUGGCCUAGUGGUUAGAGCAUCCGCCUCGGAUGCAGGAGGUCGUGGGUUCGAUGCUAAUAGCCUCGCUUGACGUU
Molecule: non-coding RNA, 81 nt
Organism: Potamilus streckersoni
Lineage: Eukaryota; Metazoa; Mollusca; Bivalvia; Unionida; Unionidae
Source: the annotation of a GenBank genome assembly